ACGAACGCUGGCGGCGUGCCUAAUACAUGCAAGUUGAGCGAUGAAGAUUGGUGCUUGCACCAAUUUGAAGAGCAGCGAACGGGUGAGUAACGCGUGGGGAAUCUGCCUUUGAGCGGGGGACAACAUUUGGAAACGAAUGCUAAUACCGCAUAACAACUUUAAACAUAAGUUUUAAGUUUGAAAGAUGCAAUUGCAUCACUCAAAGAUGAUCCCGCGUUGUAUUAGCUAGUUGGUGAGGUAAAGGCUCACCAAGGCGAUGAUACAUAGCCGACCUGAGAGGGUGAUCGGCCACAUUGGGACUGAGACACGGCCCAAACUCCUACGGGAGGCAGCAGUAGGGAAUCUUCGGCAAUGGACGAAAGUCUGGCCGAGCAACGCCGCGGGAGUGAAGAAGGUUUUCGGAUCGUAAAACUCUGUUGGUAGAGAAGAACGUUGGUGAGAGUGGAAAGCUCAUCAAGUGACGGUAACUACCCAGAAAGGGACGGCUAACUACGUG
This 496-nucleotide ribosomal RNA is filed under the name uncultured bacterium. Its description in RNAcentral is "partial 16S ribosomal RNA". It matches the Rfam family "Bacterial small subunit ribosomal RNA", at positions 29 to 507 of the family's 1533-position model. The record is from RNAcentral.